GACGAACGCUGGCGGCGUGCCUAAUACAUGCAAGUCGAACGAGAGCAACCGGUGCUUGCCCUGGUCAAUCUAGAGGCGAACGGGUGAGUAACACGUGGGUAACCUGCCCAUCAGAGGGGGAUAACAUCCGGAAACGGAUGCUAAAACCGCAUAGGUCUUCGAACCGCAUGGUUUGAAGAGGAAAAGAGGCGCAAGCUUCUGCUGAUGGCUGGACCCGCGGUGCAUUAGCUAGUUGGUGAGGUAACGGCUCACCAAGGCCGUGAUGCAUAGCCGACCUGAGAGGGUGAUCGGCCACAUUGGGACUGAGACACGGCCCAGACUCCUACGGGAGGCAGCAGUAGGGAAUCUUCCGCAAUGGACGCAAGUCUGACGGAGCAACGCCGCGUGAGUGAAGAAGGUUUUCGGAUCGUAAAACUCUGUUGUUAGAGAAGAACAAGUGCUAGAGUAACUGUUAGCGCCUUGACGGUAUCUAACCAGAAAGCCACGGCUAACUACGUG
RNAcentral lists this ribosomal RNA (498 nucleotides) under uncultured bacterium. RNAcentral describes it as "partial 16S ribosomal RNA". It matches the Rfam family "Bacterial small subunit ribosomal RNA", at positions 28 to 507 of the family's 1533-position model. The record is from RNAcentral.